RNAcentral lists this ribosomal RNA (429 nucleotides) under Salmonella enterica subsp. enterica serovar Kentucky. RNAcentral's name for it is "bacterial LSU rRNA". It matches the Rfam family "Bacterial large subunit ribosomal RNA", at positions 784 to 1211 of the family's 2925-position model. The record is from RNAcentral. Lineage: Bacteria; Pseudomonadati; Pseudomonadota; Gammaproteobacteria; Enterobacterales; Enterobacteriaceae.
UAAUGUUGAAAAAUUAGCGGAUGACCUGUGGCUGGGGGUGAAAGGCCAAUCAAACCGGGAGAUAGCUGGUUCUCCCCGAAAGCUAUUUAGGUAGCGCCUCGUGAAUUCAUCUCCGGGGGUAGAGCACUGUUUCGGCUAGGGGGCCAUCCCGGCUUACCAACCCGAUGCAAACUGCGAAUACCGGAGAAUGUUAUCACGGGAGACACACGGCGGGUGCUAACGUCCGUCGUGAAGAGGGAAACAACCCAGACCGCCAGCUAAGGUCCCAAAGUCAUGGUUAAGUGGGAAACGAUGUGGGAAGGCCCAGACAGCCAGGAUGUUGGCUUAGAAGCAGCCAUCAUUUAAAGAAAGCGUAAUAGCUCACUGGUCGAGUCGGCCUGCGCGGAAGAUGUAACGGGGCUAAACCAUGCACCGAAGCUGCGGCAGCGA